UUGCAUUUUUCUUAAUUUCCUUUUCAGAUUGUUUAUUGAUAGUGUACAGAAAUGCAACUAAUUUUUGUGUUGAUUUUGUAUCUUGCAACUUGGUGACUUCAUUUAUUAAUUCUAAUAGUUUUUUUUUGUGAAAUCUUUAUAGUUUUCUACAUAUAAGAUCAAGUUAACUGCCAACAGAGGUAGUUUUACUUCUUUCUUUCCAAUCUGGAUACUUUUAUUUAUUUUUCUUGUCUAAUGGCUCUGGCUAGAAAUUCUAAUACUAUGUUGAAUAGAAGUGGCCAGAGUGGGCAUCUUGGCUUUCUUCCUGAUUUCAGAGGAAAAGCUUUCAGUCUUUCACCAUUGAGUAUGAUGUUAGCAGUAGACUUUGCAUAAAUUGCCUUUAAUAUGUUGAAGUAGUUUACUUCUAUACCUGGUUUGUUGAGUGUUUUAUUAUAAAAGGGUGUUGAAUCUUGUCAAAUGUGUUUUCUACAUCCAUUGAAACGAUCCUGUGGCUUUUGCUCUUCAUUUUGUAAAUGUGGCAUACUACACUGACUGAUUUUCACCAGCUGAACCAUCCUUGCAGUCCAGGAAUAUAUCUUAUUUGGUCGUGCUGUAUAAUCUGUUUCAUGUGCUAUUGAAUUCUGUUUGCUAGUAUUUUGUGGAAGAUUUUUGCAUUACUAUUCAUCAGGGAUAUUGGUGUGUAGUUUUCUUUUCUUGUAGUGUCUUUCACUGUGGUAUCAGGGUAAUGACAGCCUCAUAGAUUAAGCUUAGAAGUGUUUCCUCCUCUUCAAUUUUUUAGAAGAGUUUGAGGAAAAUAAAUGUUAAUUAGUCUUUAAAUGUUUGGUAGAAUUCUCCAGUGAAGUCAUCUGGUCCUGGACUUUUCUUUGUUGGGAGGUUUUUGAUUAUUGCCUCAAUCUUCUUAUUUGUUAUUGGUCUGCUCAGAUUUUCUAUUUCUUCAUGAUUCAAUUUUGGUGGGUUGUAUAUUUCUAGGAAUUCAUCCAUUCCUUCUAGAUUAUCCAAUUUGUUGCUGUACAAUUGUUCAUAGUAUUCACUUAUACUAUUCUCUUUUUAUCUCUUUGGCAUUAAUUGUACUGUCUCUUCUUUAUGAAUUUAGUUAUUUCAGUCUUCUCUCUUUUUUUAAGUUAAUCUAGCUAAAGGUUAUCAAUUUUAUUGAUCCUUUCAAAAAGCUACUCUUAGUUUUGUUGAUUUUUUUCUACUGUUUUUCUGUUCUCUAUUUAGUUUCUCUCUGCUUUAAUAUUUAUUAUUUUCUUCUGCUAGCUUUGGAUUUACUUUGUUCAUCUUUUUCUAGUUUCUUAAGAUGUAAAGUUAGGUUGUUGAUUUGAGAUCUUUUUUAAUGUACACAUUUAUAGCUAUAAACUUCUCUUAGUACUGCUUUUGUUGCAUCUCAUAAGUUUUGAAAUAUUGUUUCCCUUCUAAUUUGUCUCAAGGUAUUUUCCAAUUUUCUUUGUGACUUCUUUGACUUCUUCUUUGGUCAAGAGUAGUAUGUUGUUUAAUUUCUACAUAUUUAUAGAUUUUUCAGUAUUCUUUGUGCUAUUGCUUUCCAGUUUAAUCCGUUGUGAUGUCAAUUUUCUUGAAUUUGUUAAGACUUGUUUUGUGGUCUAACACGUGGUUUAUCUGGAGAAUGUUUUAUGCACCCUAGAAAAAAAUGUAUAUUCUACUGUUGUUAGGGUGGGGUGCUUUGUAUAUAUCUUUUAGGUCCAACUGAUCUAUCGUGUUAAUUUCUUUAUUUCCUUAUUGAUCUUCUGCUGGUUGUUUUCUCCAUUUUUUUUUAAAGUGAGGUAUUGAAGUCUCCUACUAUUACGUGGCUAAUUCCAUCUCCAAUUCUGUCAAAGUUUACUUCUUAUAUUUACAUGCUCUGAGGCUUGGUGCAUAAAUAUUAAUAAUUGUUAUAUUUUCUUACAGCAUUGACUUUUCCAUCACUAUAUAAUGUCCUUCUUUUCCUAUCCCUUUUGCUGGUACUCCCUUUUUGGUUUUUGUUUUGUUUUGUUUUGAGAUGGAGUCUCGCCCUGUUGCCUAGGCUGGGGUGCAGUGGCACGAUCUUGGCUCACUGCAACCUCUGCCUCCCGGGUUCAAGCAAUUCUCAUGCCUCAGCCUCCCAAGUAGCUGGGACUACAGGUACCUGCCACCAUGCUUGGCUAAUUUUUUUGUAUUUUUAGUAAAGACUGGGUUUUGCCAUGUUGGCCAGGCUGGUCUCGAAUUCCUGACUUCAGGUGAUCCGCCCACCUUGUUCUCCCAAUGUGCUGGGGUUAUAGGCGUGAGACACUGCACCCAGCCUCCUUCUUAGUUUUACAGUAACUUUGGUGCUGUAGCUUCUCAACUGACUUUUAGCAUCCCCACAGAGGUAUUCUGGUCGGUAUACUGCUAUUAACUUGGUGACUCUGUGGGAGAAGGAGGGCCUGUAGCUUCUUAGUCCACUAUCUUGCUGACUGGUCCUCUGCUUUGAAGGACUCAUGAUUAGGUUCGGUCCACUUGGAUAAUCCAGGUUAAUCUCCCCACUCAAAAGUUCUUAACCUUAAUCAUGUCUGCAAGUCCUCUUUGCCACGGAAGGCAAAUAUUUACCAUUUCUGAAGAUUGGAACAUGGACAUUUUUGGGGGACACUUACUGUCUACUAUACAUGGUUUCUCCAAAGGAUUUUCACAUAUAUUAAUUCAUUUAAUAUCAACAAUGUGGUGGAACAGAAAUUACAGUACUUUUCCAUACAGGAAGACUAAUAGAUUUGUUUUUUGCCCCAGGGUUAUACUAGUAUUAGGGCCUUUACAAAUGGAUCUCAUCAUACCUCUCUAGCUUCAUUUCACACAACUCCCUCCACCUAAUUUCUAGUCACAGUCACCCCUCACACGUCAUGCCCCUUCACAAUUCAGUCACCAAGCAGUCAGAGAGGUCUCACUGAACUUUGUCAUAUCCUCUAUUAUCAUACAUAUACACUAGUGUAUAGUGUUUUGUUACACAUUAGCCACACAUCAUAUGUGUACACUGCUAACAAAUGGGGUUUCAGGAUAGAAAUGACUCUAAUUGCCUAGUUUUGCUUGAGAAGUGGUAUAAUAGACAACAGGAAACUGAACUGAGGGUGAGAUAUACAUCUCUCUAUGUAGAACUUAUAAAAAGAAUGGUUUAGACACAAGUCUACAAGAUGUUGCAGACUUACAGACUUACAGACUCCUUAGCCAGGUAAAGAUCAUAAAAUGGAAUCUGAGAGGAAAAAGCUUUUGUAAGAGUAGGGAGGAGUUUCUUUAGAGGGAGUGGUAGUCAGGCUGUAAAUCUCCAACCUGGGGAGGAGUGGGAGAUUGCCGUCUUCCAACAUCAGGCCUAGUGAGGGGGCAUUAAGCGUACCUUUGAAGAGUGUUUCCUUUAGUUGGAGAGAGAGAUGACUGGUGCCUGACUCAUGCCUGAGAAAAUUAAACGGACUUUUUCCCUGGGGGCUGACUCAUGGCCAGAGAUUCCAGAAAACACAAAAAUGCCUGCCUGUCUGAUGGUGAACCAGAAAGGUGCUGCUACACUGAGAUUGACUAGCACUCUCAGGGACUGUCAAAGCAAGGGAUUUUUCCCAUGGAGCAUGUGGAUGACCUGGUGAAACCCUAUCAUGAGAUUGUCUUAAAUCUUGGCCAAGAUCACUGCUGGAGAGGUGAGACUGCCUAGCAGAAAGAGGGUAGAUACCCAGGGGCUGAGAAAGCAACAACGUGAUAUAGUGUUAGAAUAACAACCCCCAAUGCAUCACACCUCUCUGCCACAUUUCCCCUCUGCAUCUAAUUUUGCUACUGCUUCCAUCAAGAGAUGGAAUAUAUUUUCUUACACCUUGAGUCUUACUGGCCUUGUGGCUUUUAUGAUCAAUAACUGCAGCAAAAAUGACAUUGUGAAAACUGAGGAAGAGAACUGGUAUGGGUAUUUCUUUUGAGAAUAUGCCCUCGGCAUGAGAUCAGUGGGUCAAAGUGUAUGUGUUCAACUUUAGCAGAUACUGCUAAACACUUUUACAAAGUGGUUGUACUAAACAUAUUCCUUGUAGCAGUACAAGAGUUCUAUUUGAACUGCAUCUCCUCCAACAAUUUAGUAUUUUCUAUUGUUUUUCACCUUAGCUAUUCUGGUAGGUGGGUAUCCAGUGUGGUUUUAAUUUGCAUUUCCCUGAUGACUAAAGAUGUUAAGCACCUUUUCAGAUGUUUAUUGGCCAUUUGGACAUCCUCUUUUACGGAAUGACUGUUUAAGUGUUUUGCUCAUUUUUCUAUUGAGUUGAUGGGUCUUUUCUUACUAAUUUGCAGGUGUUUGUUUUAUACUCUGCAUAUGAAUCCCUUGUUGGACAUAUAUGCUGCAGAUAUCUUCUACUACUCUGGAAGUAACUUUUUCACUCUUAAUAGAGCCUUGCUUUAGAAAAACAAAACUGGCUGGGCAUAGUGGCUCACGCUUGUAAUCCCAGCACUCUGGGAGGCCCAGGCAGGCGGAUCACGAGGUCAGGAGAUCGAGACCACGGUGAAACCCCAUCUCUACUAAAAAUAUAAAAAAUUAGCCAGGCGUGGUGGCGGGUGCCUGUAAUCCCAGCUACUCGGAGAGCCUGAGGCAGGAGAAUGGCGUGAACUCGGGAGGCGGAGCUUGCAGUGAGCUGAGAUCGCGCCACUGCACUCCAGCACUCCAGCCUGGGUGACAGAGCAAGACUCCGUCUCAAAAAAAAAAAAAAAAAAAAAGAAAAAACAAAAACUGGCCGGGCGCGGUGGCUCACGCUUGUAAUCCCAGCACUUUGGGAGGCCGAGGCAGGUGGAUCACGAGGUCAGGAGAUCGAGACCACGGUGAAACCCCAUCUCUACUAAAAAUACAAAAAAUUAGCCGGGCGUGGUGGCGGGCGCCUGUAGUCUCAGCUACACGGAGAGGCUGAGGCAGGAGAAUGGCGUGAACCCGGGAGGCGGAGCUUGCAGUGAGCCGAGAUUGUGCCACUGCACUCCAGCCUGGGCGACAGAGCGAGACUCCGUCUCAAAAAAAAAAAAAAAAAAAAAAAAGGAAAAACAAAAACUUCAGUCAGAAGGCAAUUAGAGGGGUUGCUGAAUGGGAAUAGUUCAAUUAUCUCAAUUCUCUCAAUUCUCCUGUUCCAUUAGCACAAUUACCUACUGGAUUUUUUUUCUUCUUUUGUAAAACUCAGUGCUGGUUGAACAAGCUAUAGCUUUGCUAUUACAACACAAAUAAUAAUUCCCUAACUGCUCAGUAUUUUCUUCUAUCUUUAGUUAAUCUGAGUGUCUAUCACCCAUGCUUUCUUACUUAACCUUUUUGAGCUCAGUUUUGUUAUUGGUACAAAAAUGAAUAAUGUACCUACCUCAUAUGGUUGUUGUGAGAGAGAAUUAAGUAAGUUAAUGUACGAAAAGUGUUUAAAACAGUACCCGGCACAGAGUAAACUACUACUAUUAUUAUUCCAAAAUGCUUUUCCUUUGGAAGACUACAUAGACUGUGUAGUUUUCUACGUCCUCCUUCAAGAUUCAUUGCUUAUAAAUUAAAAACAGGACACCAUUUUUUAAUCUAAAUGGCAAAGAUUAAGGAAGCAAUAAUAUUCAGUGCUGCUGAAGCUGCAGUAUGCUCAUACACUGAGUUAUUAGAAACUGCUGAAAUCUUUCCAAAGAGCAAUUAAGUAAUGCUUAACAAUAGCCUUUGAUGCAGUAAUUCCACAAGGUAGUCCAAGACUUUUCCAUAAACCAGUCAUCACUAUGCUAUUUAUUAUAACACAUAUAGAAUAAAAAACUAAAUGCCUUCAAAUAACGAAAGUAUGGUGAUCUCUAAGCUGGAUUGCCCAGCCAUUAGAAAUAUGUUCAAAUAAUUUUUAAUGGAAAGAGAAAAUUCUUAUACUCUGAGAAAGCUUCUCAGAGGAUGUGUUAUUGAGCUGGUUUUUGAAGGAUCAAUAAGGGAGUAGAAAAGAAUUCCAGCCAUAAUGGAUGGGUAUAUAAAGGACAGGAAGCAUUCAAGAGUUGGAUAAGAUUAUACUCACCCAUAUGAGACAGUAUAUGUAUUUUUUAGCUUCAAGUCUGGGCAAUGAGGUAAAAAGGUUCCUUAAGGUUCUUUAUUCUAGAAUUCUAUGACAAUGUGUUGAGAAUCUUGUCAUGCAAUAAGGUGUUUGCCAAGUAUUAUUCCAAAUGCAAAUAGCUAAGCAAGAUCAGAAGAAUUUGAAAAAUCUGCCAAAACCCCAGUCUCAUACCAGAUUCGCUACAUGGGCAAGAAGAUAUGUGAUACUUACAUUAAUUUCUACAAGAAUCUGAAAGUGAAGGUGAUACAAACAGGAAGCAGGGAAAUACUAGCUCCACCGGCAGGAGAGCAGAGCGGAGCAGCAGAGGAGGAGAGAAGAGAAGAAGCAGUUGGAGAAAAGCAGCUUGACUUCAGAGGGAUGGCUUGAUGGCAGGACUUCAGAGAAGAGUUUGGCCAGGUAUGGCCAAACUCCAGGGGAAGAUUAUCUGCUCACUCCAUCCCUCUCCAGCUCCCCUUCCCACUGAAAGCCACUUCCAUCGCUCAAUAAAAUUAUCCGCAUACAACACCCUUCAA
Molecule: long non-coding RNA, 6502 nt
Organism: Symphalangus syndactylus (siamang)
Lineage: Eukaryota; Metazoa; Chordata; Mammalia; Primates; Hylobatidae
Source: RefSeq, a predicted model, not a curated record